This 16-nucleotide ribosomal RNA is filed under the name Amomum glabrum. RNAcentral's name for it is "partial 26S ribosomal RNA". Lineage: Eukaryota; Viridiplantae; Streptophyta; Magnoliopsida; Zingiberales; Zingiberaceae. The record is from RNAcentral.
CGAGGAUUCCCCUAAU